This 283-nucleotide transfer-messenger RNA is filed under the name Bradyrhizobium sp. RNAcentral's name for it is "partial transfer-messenger RNA". It matches the Rfam family "Alphaproteobacteria transfer-messenger RNA", at positions 1 to 272 of the family's 355-position model. Rfam says of the family: Bacterial tmRNA, also known as 10Sa RNA or SsrA, is named for its dual tRNA and mRNA-like properties. The record is from RNAcentral. Lineage: Bacteria; Pseudomonadati; Pseudomonadota; Alphaproteobacteria; Hyphomicrobiales; Nitrobacteraceae.
GGCCUAGCAUUCGCCCCUGAUCGCGCCUAUAUUCAGGCUGUCGCAAGACGAUGGCGCUGAAACUCUGAGCGGACUGCAGGCAGACCCGGGGGCAGUACCCGGCGCCUCCACCCUAGCAGCUUGAUUUUGCCGGAAGGCAGGCUGCUACGGCGGGGGCGAAACAGGAUCGAUGGCUGCGAAGAAGCUCUGAAUUGUGCUCGGCAUGAUACCGCCGUUAUCGGGUCAAAAACCUAAAUGCAAACGAUAACGUUGCAUUGAACGAAGUGCGCCUCGCGGCGUAACC